GUCACCUGGGUAUCUCCUUGAAACGCAGAUCCAAAGGUCUGAAGUAGGGCCUGAGAUUCUGCAUUUCCAAUGAGCUCCCAGGUGAUGCUAA
This 91-nucleotide microRNA precursor is filed under the name Callithrix jacchus (white-tufted-ear marmoset). Its description in RNAcentral is "mir-544 microRNA precursor family". It matches the Rfam family "mir-544 microRNA precursor family". Lineage: Eukaryota; Metazoa; Chordata; Mammalia; Primates; Cebidae. The record is from Rfam by way of RNAcentral.